GACGAACGCUGGCGGAGUGCCUAACACAUGCAAGUCGAGCGGCAGCGGGAGUAGUUUACUACUUGCCGGCGAGCGGCGGACGGCUGAGUAACGCGUGGGAAUGUGCCCCAAAGUGAGGAAUAACUGCCCGAAAGGGUAGCUAAUGCCGCAUAUGAUCUUCGGGUUAAAGUAUUUAUUACGCUUUGGGAGCGGCCCGCGUCCGAUUAGGUAGUUGGUGAGGUAAAGGCUCACCAA
Molecule: ribosomal RNA, 234 nt
Filed under: uncultured bacterium
Lineage: Bacteria
Description: partial 16S ribosomal RNA
Rfam family: Bacterial small subunit ribosomal RNA
Source: RNAcentral